CUCACCAGUGGGCUGGGGGACCCAGUGACCCUUCUGGCUGCUAGAGUCUGCUGACCAUGAUUCACAAGCCAGUGUGGGAGGCAGCAGAGGAGUCAGCUGAUGGUGACACUUCAGGAUCUGGCCUUCUUUUUCUGAUCAUUAGCAACUAUGUUGGGAAUAAGACAGGGCCCCGUUUAGCUAAUCAGAACUUCCAGGGCUAGAUAUGGAGAGAAGCUAGAAAGGAGAUGGGAAGGUACCAGCCUGUGCUAGGUGAUUUACACAAAUUAUUUUGCUUCCCACUGUGACAUUAUGGGUUUGAACUACUAAUUGUAGUAAUCAUAAUAACAGCUAGCAUUAAUUGAGGAUUUACUUUGUGCCAGUCCCUUCCUUAAAGGACUUUAUAUUCAUUAUCUCAAGCUAACUUAUAUAACAAUUAUAUGGCAUAGAUACCAUCGUUAUCCUCAUUUUUCUGGUUAAAAAAUUGGGUCAGGUUUUGGGUCAGGGCACAGAGAGAGGGCACUUGCCCAUCUCACAGCUUUUAAGUGGCAGAGUUGGGACUUGAACCUACUUCAUCUGAUGCCAGAGCCUGCAGAACGCAGAUGCCUUGAUGUCCUAUCCUUCAGCACAUACAAAACAGAACAAGCAAACACAUUAGAAUGAACGUGGAAUGGAUACGAAAGACCCUAUCUACCCUGAGAGUCAACUUUGAGUGCAACUUUGAGUCAAAGACCACGGAGGAGAUGCAUGGAGUAUUAGCCUGGCUGGACCAGUCUGAGAUGCCCAGGUUGAAGACCUUAAGAACAUCCCAUGGGCUUUGGCCAUUUGUAUUUAGCCAAACUCUUGGGCUUUGGUUCAGCAUUCUGUGAGUUUGAAAUCUACACCAAACCCUGUGCCAGAUGAAGGAACACAGAGAUGAAGAAUAUAAGGCUGUUGCCUUCAAGAAGAUCACAGAUAUGGCAAAGGUGGAGCUCCAGCAGGCACUGACCAUGUUCAGCAUUAAAUAGCAACCAAAAGGAACUGCUCCCCUGUGCCCAGACAGCCAAAGGAGAACUCAUGAAGGCCCAGAAUAUCAGAGAUAAUUCUGAUUCUGGCAUAAGAAGCUGGAAGAUAAGAGGUCUUUGUUAGUUCCUCCUUCAUGGGUACAAUGAGGUAUUCAUGCUAUUCCCCUCGGGACUUGGGAAGUCUUUUAGGCCCAAGAAAGGUCUGUGCGUCAUCAUAAUUGUGUAAUAUGGCUGCCCUCUUUCCGCCCCACCCCUUGACAUAUCCUGGUCAGGCAAGUUAAAGUUCUGUUGAUGCGCUAACUGUUGUGGCCACCAUCAAUCACACUUCCUUCAGUGGUCUUUGAUAUGGCCUUCCAAAGAGCUGGAAAUCUGGGGACCACUUCCUUCCAUCGAUCUCACCCCCUAUUUUCUGCCACCAUGUAAAGGGAUUGAUUCCAUUUAAAGGCAUUGUGACGUGAGGACAAGGCACAGCCUCAGAAGUUUAACUGCCCUGAGUCUGAAUCACUUACCAGCCAUGAAGGCUUGGACAAUUUUCUUAACCUCAGAACCUCAGGAUUUUGUUUUGUCUUGUUUUUGUCCAAUGUGGAAAAUAAGACUUAUGGAACAGCUUCAUAGAGUUGAUAUCCAGAUUAAAUGGAACAGCAUAGGUAAAAUCCCCAGCACUUUACUGACACCUAGCCGAUGCCCAAUAAAUAUAGUUGCCAUUUAUCGGUUCUAGGCAGGUUUGGUGAAAUAAAUGGACAUAUCGAGCCCCACGUUGGGCUCUGUGCUGACAACAUGGAGCCUGCUUGAUAUUCUGUCUCCCUCCCUUGGUAUUCUGCCCCUCCCCCACUUGCCCUCUAUAUCUCUAUCAAAAUAAAUAAAAAUAAAACUUAAAAAAAAAGAGAGAAAGAAAGAAAGAAAGAAAGAAAGAGAGAGACGUGGUCCCCACCUUUGAGAAACUUAGGGUCUUUUCUCCAUAUUUAUGACUCUCUUCUGUUUUGUCCCCCUCCCUGUGUUUAUAUUAUUUUUGUUUCCCUUCCUUUAUGUUCAUCUGUUUUGUCUCUUAAAGUCCUCAUAUGAGUGAAGUCAUAUGAUUUUUGUCUUUCUCUGACUGACUAAUUUCACUUAGCAUAAUACCCUCCAGUUCCAUCCAUGUAGUUGCAAAUGGCAAGGUUUCAUUCUUUUUGAUUGGGCUAAAUGGGUAAGGGGCGCUAAGGAAUCUACUCCUGAAAUCAUUGUUGCACUAUAUGCUAACUAAUCUGGAUGUAAGUUUUAAAAAAUAAAAAAUUAAAUUAAAAAAAAGAAACUUAGGGUCGUUAUCAUAAAGAUAGGUGGUUCCUUAUCAUAAAUAUGAGUGAUUAGGCCCACCUGUGUGAAACAUCCCCAUCUGUAAAUUGGGCAAUAAGAUGUACCUC
Panthera uncia (snow leopard) is the source of this 2377-nucleotide long non-coding RNA. RefSeq lists it as uncharacterized. Lineage: Eukaryota; Metazoa; Chordata; Mammalia; Carnivora; Felidae. The transcript has 3 exons. The record is from RefSeq and is a predicted model, not a curated record.